AAAAUCAAAAUCGGUUCACCCAGGGCGAGGCUCGGCCAUUGCACUUCGGCUGUGCUGACCCCUGCGAAUUCCCCAAAUGUGGGAAUCUCGACUGCAUAAUUUCUGGUAGUGGGGGACUGCGUUCGCGCUCUCCCCUG
Molecule: small nuclear RNA, 137 nt
Organism: Lepisosteus oculatus (spotted gar)
Lineage: Eukaryota; Metazoa; Chordata; Actinopteri; Semionotiformes; Lepisosteidae
Gene: U1
Rfam family: U1 spliceosomal RNA
About the family: U1 is a small nuclear RNA (snRNA) component of the spliceosome (involved in pre-mRNA splicing). Its 5' end forms complementary base pairs with the 5' splice junction, thus defining the 5' donor site of an intron.
Source: Ensembl